Molecule: ribosomal RNA, 253 nt
Filed under: uncultured bacterium
Lineage: Bacteria
Description: partial 16S ribosomal RNA
Rfam family: Bacterial small subunit ribosomal RNA
Source: RNAcentral
UACAGAGGGCCCGAGCGUUGUUCGGAUUCAUUGGGCGUAAAGGGUGCGUAGGCGGCGGGGCAAGUCUGAUGUGAAAUCCCGGGGCUCAACCCCGGAACUGCAUUGGAUACUGCCUUGCUUGAGUAGUGGAGAGGGAACUGGAAUUUACGGUGUAGCAGUGAAAUGCGUAGAGAUCGUAAGGAAGGCCAGUGGCGAAGGCGAGUUCCUGGACAGUGACUGACGCUGAGGCACGAAGGCCAGGGGAGCAAACAGG